Molecule: long non-coding RNA, 755 nt
Organism: Armigeres subalbatus
Lineage: Eukaryota; Metazoa; Arthropoda; Insecta; Diptera; Culicidae
Exons: 4
Source: RefSeq, a predicted model, not a curated record
GGGAAAGAUUUCCCUCGUGUUAAAGAAAGUGCAGUGAAAUAAAUAAAAAGAAAAGUGCCACGACUGCGAGUUCUUUCGUGUGGAGCGGAUCUUGUCCACUUGCUCCGCCCGGUGCUGGGAUAACCACGAACACAAGGCACGCACGGGCUUUCUACGGAUCACGACACGACAGAAGACGACCGACGGCACACGCAAGUUUGGUCAGGCGACAGCACGAAAAGUUCCCCGAAGGAGCGCGUUAGUUCUUUGGAUUCAAAAGCCGACGCGAAACGACGGUCCGUUGCUCCGAACCGGGAAAGCGAAGACGAGCACCUCAUCACUUGAAGCAGAAAAAUACCCCGCUGGGGUUUUUCUGUUGAGCUAAUUCCUAUCAUCGAGGAACGGGAGUAUCGUGAUCGAGGCAGCGGUGCGACAAGGCGACGGUCGGAUUGCCGAAACAUCGAUUGCGUUUCGUCCGGCAGGACUAGGUCGGAGGAGAUUCGUUCUGGAGCAAGCAGCCCUUCAGUGGAUCACUGGGAAAGACCCCAUCCAGUUACUUGCUCGCACUGGACGGCCAGAGGGGUCUCCAGCAGAGUGAUUAGGAUGCAUGCGUGGGACGGCAAUGAAAUGCGGUAGGCGAGCAGUCGCGGCAGCGAGAGCUCCGCCGAAAAAAUAGUGUAGGGGGACGCCCCGAACACAGAAGGUACCGCGAGUUCUGUGAAGAGACCGUGAGUACGAAAAAUCUAUGUCGUAAAUCGGAAAGAUAGAGAAGGAGA